AAUGAACGUUGGCGGCGUGGAUUAGGCAUGCAAGUCGUGCGCGAACUGUAGCAAUACAGGGAAAGCGGCGUAAGGGAGAGUAAUACGUAGGUAUCUACCCAUGGGUCUGGGAUAGCGGCGGGAAACUGCCGGUAAUACCAGAUAACGUCUCCGGACCAAAGGUGUGAUUCCACCUGUGGAGGAGCCUACGGCCUAUUAGCUAGUUGGCAGGGUAACGGCCUACCAAGGCUUGGAUGGGGUACGGGGUGUGAGAGCAUCGCCCCCGCUCACUGGGACUGAGACACUGCCCAGACACCUACGGGUGGCUGCAGUCGAGAAUCUUCGGCAAUGGGCGCAAGCCUGACCGAGCGACGCCGCGUGCGGGAUGAAGGUCUUCGGGUUGUAAACCGCUGUCGUAGGGGAUGAAACGCUAGUGAGUUAUCUCAUUAGUUUGACUGAACCUAGGAGGAAGGGCCGGCUAAUCUCGUGCCAGCAGCCGACGGUAAAGUGUGACUGU
RNAcentral lists this ribosomal RNA (496 nucleotides) under uncultured bacterium. Its description in RNAcentral is "bacterial SSU rRNA". It matches the Rfam family "Bacterial small subunit ribosomal RNA", at positions 29 to 533 of the family's 1533-position model. The record is from RNAcentral.